CAGCCAUGCCGCGUGUGUGAAGAAGGCCUUCGGGUUGUAAAGCACUUUCAGUCGUGAGGAAGGUAGUGUAGUUAAUAGCUGCAUUAUUUGACGUUAGCGACAGAAGAAGCACCGGCUAACUCCGUGCCAGCAGCCGCGGUAAUACGGAGGGUGCGAGCGUUAAUCGGAAUUACUGGGCGUAAAGCGCAUGCAGGUGGUUUGUUAAGUCAGAUGUGAAAGCCCGGGGCUCAACCUCGGAAUUGCAUUUGAAACUGGCAGACUAGAGUACUGUAGAGGGGGUAGAAUUUCAGGUGUAGCGGUGAAAAUGCGUAGAGAUCUGAAGGAAUACCGGUGGCGAAGGCGGCCCCCCUGGACAGAUACUGACACUCAGAUGCGAAAGCGUGGGGAGCAAACAGGAUUAGAUACCCUGGUAG
RNAcentral lists this ribosomal RNA (413 nucleotides) under uncultured bacterium. Its description in RNAcentral is "bacterial SSU rRNA". It matches the Rfam family "Bacterial small subunit ribosomal RNA", at positions 389 to 793 of the family's 1533-position model. The record is from RNAcentral.